Molecule: non-coding RNA, 31 nt
Filed under: Mus musculus (house mouse)
Lineage: Eukaryota; Metazoa; Chordata; Mammalia; Rodentia; Muridae
Source: RNAcentral
UCAUAAAACUCUCAAGUUCCUACCUAGAUCA